AUGAAACCUGCUGCACCAUUACAACAACAAAGUCAAUUUAUUGCAACUUUCUUUCUUAGCAAUAUUGGAAAUAUCGAAACUUUGAAAUUGACUUUGGAUUUUCAUCAACAUAAAUCUUGUGAACUUGAGUGGCCCACAUGUUACAAGAUUAUUAAAGGUACUAGUGAGGGACUAAAUCACCUUCACAACUCCCAGGGAAAACAUAUUUACCAUCUAGACUUAAAGCCUGGAAAUAUUUUGUUGGAUGAAAGUAUGACGCCCAAAAUUGGGGAUCUUGGUUUGUCAAGACUCGUUGCUUCAACAAAAACGCGACAAACAGAGAUGCGCGAUGGAACACUCGGGUUCGUGCCACCGGAGUACAUAAAAGAUGGCUUUAUAUCAAAGAAGUUUGACGUGUUCAGUUUGGGCGUCAUAAUUAUAAAAAUAUUGGCUGGGGCUAAGAACUACAUCCGUUGCACUGAAAUGCCCCCCGAAAAGUUUAUUCAGCUUGUCAGUGAAAACUGGACGAAAAAGUUGCAGGAAAAGACGGGACAUUCCUCACACGAAAUAGACAUCCUAGGAGUGACUUCCUGUGUUGGGAUUGCACUAAGGUGUGUGGACGAGGACAGAAACAAAAGGCCAUGUAUCAAGGACAUCGUCGAUGAACUGGAUCAACUAGAAGCUAAGCUUAAAGCAAUGUCACUAGCUUCUGAUGUGUCAAAAGACCUCACUGUCCAGAGAAGCUGUGACACCAACAUUCUGUCGGUGGAUCCGACCAUGGAGCUGCGGUUCCUCUUUGAGCUAAGGAAGGAGGCGUCGUGCUGCCUGCAGCUGACCAACAAGACGGGUGGCUUCAUCGCAUUCAACAUAGAGAUCAACCCCAACAAGUACAGUGUGCGGCCAAGCCAAGGGACCAUGCCGCCGUGCUCCAGGCGUUAUGUUGUCGUGACGCUGUCGGCGCAAGAGGCGGCGCCGCCAUGCAUGCGAUGCGAGGACAUGCUCCUCGUGCAGAGCAUCGGCGUCAGCCAAGAUCUUGGUGAGAUCAAGUAUCAAGAAUUGUUCGAGACGGCCAUGGCGAAUCAGGUGGUUGAUGUGGUGAAGCUGCCGAUCGCUUAUGUCACAUUGGACCAGUAG
RNAcentral lists this ribosomal RNA (1113 nucleotides) under Triticum aestivum (bread wheat). RNAcentral describes it as "partial small subunit ribosomal RNA". The record is from RNAcentral. Lineage: Eukaryota; Viridiplantae; Streptophyta; Magnoliopsida; Poales; Poaceae.